This is a long non-coding RNA of Sciurus carolinensis (gray squirrel), 489 nucleotides long. RefSeq lists it as uncharacterized. The record is from RefSeq and is a predicted model, not a curated record. The transcript is spliced from 4 exons. Lineage: Eukaryota; Metazoa; Chordata; Mammalia; Rodentia; Sciuridae.
CAGCAGAGGAGCUUUUCCUGGAAAAACCAAGCUGGAAGGAAGAAGGGAAGAUGGCAGAAAGAAGAUGUUAUUUACUUCUUGGCAGUGAGGCCAGCUGAGGAAGGGCCUGUGCGGUAGUGGAUAUUUAUUCUUAUUUGUGGAACAUGGGAAGUGAGUGCUCAGUAUGAGUAGAUGGAAACAUGACUGGCAGAGGAAGCCUCCCAGCCUGGGCAGUGGGACUCCUGGACAAUAUGAAGAGAGAUGCUGUGGACGAGAAUACCAUCUACAGGUCAAAGAGUGCUUGGAGCAGACUCUCCUCACAGCUGUCAGGAGGGACACCUGUUCACACCUUGAUCUCUGACUUCUGGCCUCCAGAACUGUCACCAAGAGCUCGUUUGUGAUGAUCUGAGACCAUGCAAUGCAGACAGUCUUCCAGGAACACCAGAGCAAAAUUAGAUGUGGCUGCGUCUCUGCCAUGUAUGUGCAGCUGUGGUAGCAGCUCUGACCACG